RNAcentral lists this ribosomal RNA (255 nucleotides) under uncultured bacterium. RNAcentral's name for it is "partial 16S ribosomal RNA". It matches the Rfam family "Bacterial small subunit ribosomal RNA", at positions 524 to 776 of the family's 1533-position model. The record is from RNAcentral.
UACGUAGGGUGCAAGCGUUUAAUCGGAAUUACUGGGCGUAAAGCGUGCGCAGGCGGUUUUGUAAGUCAGAUGUGAAAUCCCCCGGGCUUAACCUGGGAACUGCGUUUGAAACUACAAGGCUAGAGUGUGACAGAGGGGGGUGGAAUUCCACGUGUAGCAGUGAAAUGCGUAGAGAUGUGGAGGAACACCGAUGGCGAAGGCAGCCCCCUGGGUUAACACUGACGCUCAGGCACGAAAGCGUGGGGAGCAAACAGG